RNAcentral lists this ribosomal RNA (858 nucleotides) under uncultured haloarchaeon. RNAcentral describes it as "bacterial SSU rRNA". It matches the Rfam family "Archaeal small subunit ribosomal RNA", at positions 33 to 892 of the family's 1478-position model. The record is from RNAcentral. Lineage: Archaea; Methanobacteriati; Methanobacteriota; Halobacteria; Halobacteriales; Halobacteriaceae.
UUGGGAUCCGAUUUAGCCAUGCUAGUCGUACGAGUUUAGACUCGUGGCGAAUAGCUCAGUAACACGUGGCCAAACUACCCUUCGGACCGCAAUACCCUCGGGAAACUGAGGCUAAUAGCGGACACCACACGCAGACUGGAAUGUCGCGUGUGUCAAACGCUCCGGCGCCGAAGGAUGUGGCUGCGGCCGAUUAGGUAGACGGUGGGGUAACGGCCCACCGUGCCAAUAAUCGGUACGGGUCAUGAGAGUGAGAACCCGGAGACGGAAUCUGAGACAAGAUUCCGGGCCCUACGGGGCGCAGCAGGCGCGAAACCUUUACACUGCACGCCAGUGCGAUAAGGGGAUCCCAAGUGCGUAGGCAUAGAGCCUACGCUUUUGUCCACCCUAGGGUGGUGGACGAAUAAGGGCUGGGCAAGACCGGUGCCAGCCGCCGCGGUAAUACCGGCAGCCCAAGUGAUGGCCGAUCUUAUUGGGCCUAAAGCGUCCGUAGCUGGCCGCACAAGUCCAUCGGGAAAUCCACCUGCUCAACAGGUGGGCGUCCGGUGGAAACUGUGUGGCUUGGGACCGGAAGGCGCGACGGGUACGUCCGGGGUAGGAGUGAAAUCCUGUAAUCCUGGACGGACCGCCGAUGGCGAAAGCACGUCGCGAAAACGGAUCCGACAGUGAGGGACGAAAGCUAGGGUCUCGAACCGGAUUAGAUACCCGGGUAGUCCUAGCCGUAAACACUGCCUGCUAGGUGUGGCACCCACUACGAGUGGGUGCUGUGCCGUAGGGAAGCCGCUAAGCAGGCCGCCUGGGAAGUACGUCCGCAAGGAUGAAACUUAAAGGAAUUGGCGGGGGAGCACUACAACCGGAGGA